UCCUUUGUGGCUCAGAUGGUAAAGCGUCUGCCUACAAUGCAGGAGACCCGGGUUCGAUCCCUGGGUCAGGAA
RNAcentral lists this transfer RNA (72 nucleotides) under Bos taurus (domestic cattle). It matches the Rfam family "tRNA". Rfam says of the family: Transfer RNA (tRNA) molecules are approximately 80 nucleotides in length. Their secondary structure includes four short double-helical elements and three loops (D, anti-codon, and T loops). Lineage: Eukaryota; Metazoa; Chordata; Mammalia; Artiodactyla; Bovidae. RNAcentral also lists the same sequence under 3 other names. The record is from Rfam by way of RNAcentral.